GCCCCCAUACCCUAGGGCAAUCGCUUGCUACUCAUUAAUGGACAAAUAUGGGAGUAGAUCCAGGCCACUCGAUCUCAUCUCCAUCACGUAUUGUGCACCUCUUGACCUAAGACCUGCUCAGGAGAAUCACCUGACGACGUCGCUCAUUGUCCUCUCGAGUCUCUCAUCCCUUGCCUGAUCUAUCUUCAUCUGGAGCUCC
Molecule: long non-coding RNA, 199 nt
Filed under: Elaeis guineensis (African oil palm)
Lineage: Eukaryota; Viridiplantae; Streptophyta; Magnoliopsida; Arecales; Arecaceae
Description: long non-coding RNA (EGUI_LNC030741)
Source: RNAcentral